Molecule: transfer RNA, 74 nt
Filed under: Nitzschia sp. (in: diatoms)
Lineage: Eukaryota; Bacillariophyta; Bacillariophyceae; Bacillariales; Bacillariaceae
Description: Nitzschia sp. (in: Bacillariophyta) tRNA-Ile
Rfam family: tRNA
About the family: Transfer RNA (tRNA) molecules are approximately 80 nucleotides in length.
Source: RNAcentral
AGUUCUGUAGCUUAAUCGGCAGAGCAAGGGAUUCAUAAGCCCAAGGUUAUAGGUUCAAAUCCUAUCAGAACUAC